Molecule: long non-coding RNA, 1219 nt
Organism: Pocillopora damicornis (cauliflower coral)
Lineage: Eukaryota; Metazoa; Cnidaria; Anthozoa; Scleractinia; Pocilloporidae
Source: RefSeq, a predicted model, not a curated record
UCUUUUCUGCAAUUGCUUAAAUUACAGUCCACCUGCAACGACCAUUUAUUUGCCUGAUUUUCAUCUGCAGCUCAAAUUAAAUUAUUUUAUUAAAAAAUUAUGAUCAGAAUUGUUAAUGGGAAAGGAGAACCCCUUAAAACUUGCCUAUCAAUGAGUGUCUCUGUACCUCAGUUGCUAGUAGUGCCCAACUAGUAUCUUGGAGGCUCUGUGGGUUCAAAUCCUUUCAAAGCCUGAAUUUUUUCAAGUUUCUUUUCUGCAAUUUCUUAUUAAUAAUGAAUUACAGUCAACCUGUGAGGAUCAUUUCUUUGCUUGAAUUUCAUCUGCAGGUCAACUGAAAUCUAUUCCUUUCAAAAUAAGGACUUUUGUAAGAAUUUAACAACUUGUUAAUGUCUCCAUUUGCCAAUAAGUAUAUAAAAAAACUGAAAUUAUUUCUCUAAUAUGGUUGUUGCUUUCUUUAUAGCAAGUGACACAAUGUCAGUUGAUAGGAAACGGUUUAUUCGGUAGCACUGAUUGUCUGUGAUUCCUUCGAAGAACAACCUUUGGGGCCAGUUGCAGAGGUUUCAAGUGAUUUCUAUUCCCUAAAAGCCGACUCAGUGCUCGUAAAAACGCCCAAAAUGGAUUCAAGCUGUUUUGUCCGAGGCGGCUCGGGGAAGGUUAACAUGCCAUCUUUCUUCACGUGUCCAUUGAAGAGAGGCGCUUGGAAAACUGAUUCAAAAUGGCUCUUUAAACGUUCCAGUUUCGUCUCAUCACACUGAGGACUGCAGAGUGCUGACCUCGCCUUUUAGUAAAGGAAGAAGCCUCACAGGCAGCGCGCCCUUGAGGCUCUGACUGCUCCACGUGAUCGGGUGGGCGUGCGCAGAUGGGAGGGAAACAGUUCUCUGGCAGACAUUAGAGGGGUUUUAAGAAAACCACAACUGCAACGGCAACGGGAACGUCACUAAACAAAAGGUUUAAUGAAUAGAACAAUGGCUUUGCAAGUGCGUUAUAAAUUUUUGUAAAUUUCUCUGCGUCCUCUGCAAAACUAUAACGUGAAAUCACCAAACUUUGCGUUGUUUGGAGAACGUGAACGACGACGGUUAAUUUUUUUAAAUUUCAAUUUCUAAUUUAACGCCGUGUUCCUCAUUCAAUUUCGUUAUAGAUUUGACAGUGAAAAACAAACUAAAUGACUUUAGAGUAACGCGUGAUUCGUAAGUAAAAUAAAGGUCCACUUUUUAACCGA